CUUUAAACACCUACGAAUAUCAAUUUCCACGUGUAUUACAUGACGUAAGGAUGUCGAUGGACGAAUUAUUACACGUGUACGCAUCGCAGAACCACAGACAAAUUCUUCUCCUAAAAACACGUACAACGGUUAGAAUCAAGUACAACGGUUUACUUACGGUAAAAAUUUAAAAGAUGUAUCGAAACUACUACUUUAAAAAUUGUAAUUAAAAUACGAGACAGCGA
Ceratina calcarata is the source of this 224-nucleotide long non-coding RNA. RefSeq lists it as uncharacterized. NCBI's taxonomy places the organism in Eukaryota, Metazoa, Arthropoda, Insecta, Hymenoptera, Apidae. The record is from RefSeq and is a predicted model, not a curated record. The transcript has 2 exons.